This 288-nucleotide unclassified non-coding RNA is filed under the name Bombus terrestris (buff-tailed bumblebee). RNAcentral describes it as "misc RNA ENSBTSG00005023025.1". The record is from RNAcentral. Lineage: Eukaryota; Metazoa; Arthropoda; Insecta; Hymenoptera; Apidae.
GAUUUGACUAAACGACUCGCUCAGUUCAUCUGCACGCGUAUAGCGAACUGGAUCUCUCUCGACAAUUUGGAACGAAGGUAUGACGAACUGGAAAUAACAGCAAAUGAAGAUCUUGAGAGCUUGGAUUUAUUUUGACAUUGAACAUAUUUACGAACAAAGGUGUAUUUCCAAUUGUUCAAACGGUGCAGCCUUACGGCCGAUUCUCGGCUGGUACGAUAAAAGAAAAAGGAAGUCGAGACACAAAUUCGUGUCUUCUAAUUAUCGAACAGCACGAAGGUUCUAGGUGCA